CCUUCGAUAGCUCAGUUGGUAGAGCGGUGGACUGUAGAGAGUUUGUGGGUCGAUCAACUGUUACAAUGCAUCUCAAAGUGCAUAUGACGAUCACCUGCAUUUAAUAGAAAUCCAUAGGUCACUGGUUCAAAUCCGGUUCGAAGGA
Non-coding RNA from Anopheles quadriannulatus, 145 nucleotides. Lineage: Eukaryota; Metazoa; Arthropoda; Insecta; Diptera; Culicidae. The record is from Rfam.